RNAcentral lists this ribosomal RNA (253 nucleotides) under uncultured bacterium. Its description in RNAcentral is "partial 16S ribosomal RNA". It matches the Rfam family "Bacterial small subunit ribosomal RNA", at positions 524 to 776 of the family's 1533-position model. The record is from RNAcentral.
UACGGGGGGGGCAAGCGUUGUUCGGAAUUACUGGGCGUAAAGGGCUCGUAGGUGGCCAACUAAGUCGGACGUGAAAUCCCCAGGCUCAACUUGGGAACUGCGUCUGAUACUGGAUGGCUUGAAUUCGGGAGAGGGAUGCAGAAUUCCAGGUGUAGCGGUGAAAUGCGUAGAUAUCUGGAGGAAUACCGGUGGCGAAGGCGGCAUCCUGGACCGAGAUUGACACUGAUGAGCGAAAGCUAGGGGAGCAAACGGG